This 20-nucleotide microRNA is filed under the name Corchorus capsularis. Its description in RNAcentral is "sRNA CCACVL1_07821". Lineage: Eukaryota; Viridiplantae; Streptophyta; Magnoliopsida; Malvales; Malvaceae. The record is from RNAcentral.
AAAAAAAAACGAAACAACCU